GUGCCAUUCCCGCUGGCUCUGAGGAUGUGGGACAUCUAUAUCCUUGAGGGUGCACACGUGCUCACCACCAUGGCAUACACGGCCCUCAAGAUCCAUCACAGUGAAUCCUCAGGUCCCACAGAGGCCCGGGUGCUCGGGACGGAGGAGCUGGGGGUCCCCCUGCCUGUCCCUCAUGAGCAGGGCUUGAGGGAGGGAUGAGGGGGUUUGGGAGUCCUGGGUUCCCUUCAGGAGGGCACUGAGAAUCCCCUGUUGCACCCCCAAUCCCAGACCCCCACAGACCACAAGGGGAAGUGGCCAAGGUCAUCACACAGGAAAUUGGCCCCUGAGCAGUCCCUCCAGUGCUUGGCUUGACACCCAAGGGUGUCCAAGGGUGUCUGCGCCCAUGUCUGGUGCUGGGACAGGGCUUGGAGCAGCCAUGGUGGCUGCACCAUCCCUAGGGCACCUCCCAGCCUGACUCCCACCCCAAUGUUUAGCCUGCUGAAGAUGCCCUGGGACCACAUCCAGGAGUUCCUGCAGGUGACCCUGAAGCAGGCCUGGUCACUGAGGGAGGAUGCGGUCAUCAGGCAGCUGCAGGCCUCCAUGCGUGAGCUGGGGAAGCUCCAGUGCCUCCUGCCUCCUGAAGGUGCUGCCUCCCCUGGGUGCUCGUGGGACAGAAGCGGUGACAGCCAUGUCUCACUGGGAAAGGGACAGUGGUCCAGGGUCAGAUGACAAAGGGUGCCCCUGCCACCUCUUUAGAAACUGCAUUCCUGUCCCCGAGGGCCUGAACCAGACCCCAUGUCUGCCCCACAGCCCCAGCUCUCACCCCCAUCAUCUUAGGCUCAGUUCCUUUCCAGCCAUUAGGAGGGACUCAGAUUCAGGUAACUCAGCCAAUGCACUGUUAGGGCCCAUGAGGUCAGGUGGGGUAGGUGACAGGGUCCUGAGUUGGUGCCUCGGUCCCCAGAGAUGAGAGAGUGAGGUGAGGAGGUCAGGGCCAUCCAUGCUUGGGGCUAUGCAGGAGGAGCCGGAGCUGUCCCAGGGCUCCCCUGGCCCAGGCUGCACACACCCUCCCCUCUGGGGCCAGCAGGCCGGAAGAGUCCUCAGCGUCACACAGGGUGAUGGGACCCUGUGUUCAGGUCCCAGAGGCACACCCUGCACUGCAGAUGGUGCCUGUGG
This 1152-nucleotide long non-coding RNA is filed under the name Oryctolagus cuniculus (rabbit). Its description in RNAcentral is "lncRNA (ENSOCUG00000035992.1)". Lineage: Eukaryota; Metazoa; Chordata; Mammalia; Lagomorpha; Leporidae. The record is from RNAcentral.